GGAGGAAUAUUGGGCAAUGGACGAAAGUCUGACCCAGCAACGCCGCGUGAAGGAUGAAGGCCUUCGGGUCGUAAACUUCUUUUGAGGGAGACGAGAAAGGACGGUAUCCCUCGAAUAAGCCACGGCUAACUACGUGCCAGCAGCCGCGGUAAAACGUAGGUGGCGGAGCGUUAUCCGGAUUCAUUGGGGCGUAAAGAGCUUGUAGGUGGGUGCGAUAAGUUGACGUGAAAACUCCGGGCUUAACUUGGAGAGGCCGUUCAAUACUGUUGUGCUAGAGGGCGUCAGAGGGAAGUGGAAUUCCUGGUGUAGCAGUGAAAUGCGUAGAUAUCAGGAGGAACAUCCGUGGCGAAGGCGGCUUCCUGGGGCGCACCUGACACUGAGAAGCGAAAGCUAGGGAGCAAACGGGNUUAGAAACCCGGUAGUCCUAGCUGUAGACGAUGGAUGCUAGGUGUGAGUGGGAUCUAACCCCGCUCGUGCCGAAGCUAA
This 486-nucleotide ribosomal RNA is filed under the name uncultured bacterium. RNAcentral's name for it is "partial 16S ribosomal RNA". It matches the Rfam family "Bacterial small subunit ribosomal RNA", at positions 355 to 855 of the family's 1533-position model. The record is from RNAcentral.